RNAcentral lists this transfer RNA (84 nucleotides) under Bacteroidales bacterium. RNAcentral describes it as "tRNA-Ile". It matches the Rfam family "tRNA". From Rfam's summary of the family: Transfer RNA (tRNA) molecules are approximately 80 nucleotides in length. Lineage: Bacteria; Pseudomonadati; Bacteroidota; Bacteroidia; Bacteroidales. The record is from RNAcentral.
ACCCAGGUGGUGGAAUUGGUAGACACGCUACUUUGAUGGGGUAGUGGACAUUAUUCCGGGUGAGUUCGAGUCUCAUCCUGGGUA